This 794-nucleotide ribosomal RNA is filed under the name uncultured Methanothermobacter sp. RNAcentral's name for it is "bacterial SSU rRNA". It matches the Rfam family "Archaeal small subunit ribosomal RNA", at positions 85 to 876 of the family's 1478-position model. The record is from RNAcentral. Lineage: Archaea; Methanobacteriati; Methanobacteriota; Methanobacteria; Methanobacteriales; Methanobacteriaceae.
ACGGCUCAGUAACACGUGGAUAACCUGCCCUUGGGACCGGGAUAACCCCGGGAAACUGGGGAUAAACCCGGAUAGGUGAAGAUGCCUGGAAUGGUGCUUCACCCAAACACCUCCGGGUGCCCAAGGAUGGGUCUGCGGCCGAUUAGGUAGUUGGUAGGGUAACGGCCUACCAAGCCCAUCAUCGGUACGGGUUGUGAGAGCAAGAGCCCGGAGAUGGAACCUGAGACAAGGUUCCAGGCCCUGCGGGGCGCAGCAGGCGCGAAACCUCCGCAAUGCACGCAAGUGCGACGGGGGAACCCCAAGUGCCACUCUUAACGGGGUGGCUUUUCAGAAGUGUAAAAAGCUUCUGGAAUAAGGGCUGGGCAAGACCGGUGCCAGCCGCCGCGGUAACACCGGCAGCUCAAGUGGUAGCCGCUUUUAUUGGGCCUAAAGCGUCCGUAGCCGGUCUGAUAAGUCUCUGGUGAAAUCCCACAGCUUAACUGUGGGAAUUGCUGGAGAUACUAUCAUGACUCGAGGUCGGGAGAGGCUGGAGGUACUCCCAGGGUAGGGGUGAAAUCCUGUAAUCCUGGGAGGACCACCUGUGGCGAAGGCGUCCAGCUGGAACGAACCUGACGGUGAGGGACGAAAGCCAGGGGCGCGAACCGGAUUAGAUACCCGGGUAGUCCUGGCCGUAAACGAUGUGGACUUGGUGUUGGGAUGGCUUCGAGCUGCCCCAGUGCCGAAGGGAAGCUGUUAAGUCCACCGCCUGGGAAGUACGGCCGCAAGGCUGAAACUUAAAGGAAUUGGCGGGGGAG